AACGAACGCUGGCGGCAUGCCUAGCACAUGCAAGUCGAACGAGAUCUUCGGGUCUAGUGGCGCACGGGUGCGUAACGCGUGGGAAUCUGCCCUUUGGUCCGGAAUAACAGCUGGAACCGACUGAUAAUACCGGAUGAUGACGAAAGUUCACAGAUUUCACGCCAGGAGAUGAGCCCGCGUAGGGUUAGCUAGUUGGUUUGGUACAGGCGUAACAAGGCGACGAUCCUUAGCUGGUCUGAGAGGAUGAUCGGCCACACUGGGACUGAGACACGGCCCAGACUCCUACGGGAGGCAGCAGUGGGGAAUAUUGGACAAUGGGCGAAAGCCUGAUCCAGCAAUGCCGCGUGAGUGAUGAAGGCCUUAGGGUUGUAAAGCUCCUUUACCCGGGAUGAUAAUGACAGUACCGGGAGAAUAAGCUCCGGCUAACUCCGUGCCAGCAGCCGCCGUAA
RNAcentral lists this ribosomal RNA (449 nucleotides) under uncultured bacterium. RNAcentral describes it as "partial 16S ribosomal RNA". It matches the Rfam family "Bacterial small subunit ribosomal RNA", at positions 29 to 523 of the family's 1533-position model. The record is from RNAcentral.